UUCCAAGAUGAGAUGGGAUUCUCCAACAUGGAAGAUGAUGGCCCAGAAGAGGAGGAGCGUGUGGCUGAGCCUCAAGCUAACUUUAACACCCCUCAAGCUCUACGGUUUGAGGAACUACUGGCCAACCUACUAAAUGAACAACAUCAGAUAGCGAAGGAACUAUUUGAACAGCUGAAGAUGAAGAAACCUUCAGCCAAACAGCAGAAGGAGGUAGAGAAGGUUAAACCCCAGUGUAAGGAAGUUCAUCAGACCCUGAUUCUGGACCCAGCACAAAGGAAGAGACUCCAGCAGCAGAUGCAGCAGCAUGUUCAGCUCUUGACACAAAUCCACCUUCUUGCCACCUGCAACCCCAAUCUCAAUCCGGAGGCCAGUAGCACCAGGAUAUGUCUUAAAGAGCUGGGAACCUUUGCUCAAAGCUCCAUCGCCCUUCACCAUCAGUACAACCCCAAGUUUCAGACCCUGUUCCAACCCUGUAACUUGAUGGGAGCUAUGCAGCUGAUUGAAGACUUCAGCACACAUGUCAGCAUUGACUGCAGCCCUCAUAAAACUGUCAAGAAGACUGCCAAUGAAUUUCCCUGUUUGCCAAAGCAAGUGGCUUGGAUCCUGGCCACAAGCAAGGUUUUCAUGUAUCCAGAGUUACUUCCAGUGUGUUCCCUGAAGGCAAAGAAUCCCCAGGAUAAGAUCCUCUUCACCAAGGCUGAGGACAA
This 707-nucleotide non-coding RNA is filed under the name Homo sapiens (human). The record is from RNAcentral. Lineage: Eukaryota; Metazoa; Chordata; Mammalia; Primates; Hominidae.